This 874-nucleotide long non-coding RNA is filed under the name Marmota monax (woodchuck). The record is from RNAcentral. Lineage: Eukaryota; Metazoa; Chordata; Mammalia; Rodentia; Sciuridae.
AUCUUCAGCACCACAUAAAAAUAAAUAAAUAAAUGUAUAGUGUCCAACUACAACUAAAAACUAAAUAAAUAUUAAAAUUGCCUACAUCCUCCAGCAAAGAGCUUACCUAAGCUUGUAAAUCCUACUGGGUUGUUGGGUGUGUGCUUUUCAUUCUUAUGAUGCCUUGUGCACAAAAUAUAUGUGCAUGCCUUCUCUCUUGUUCAUCUGCUUAUUGUUGGCUUAUUGUAUCAAACCAAUGAUCAAACCUUUAUUCCUACACCUCUGGGCAGCUUGCUCUUUGAAGAACAGUGCCCUGGUUGUGGUGCCAGAAACUCCAAAUGGCAUUAAGAAGGGCAGAAGUUGCUGGUUGUGGUUGCCAUGACACAUGCCUGUAAUUCCAGCAGCUUAGGAGGCUGGGGCAAGAGGAUGGCAAGUUUGAGGCCAGCCUCAGCAACUUAGCAAGGCCCUAAGCAUCUUAGUGAAACUCUGGCUCAAAAUAAAAAUAAAAAGGUCUGGGGAUGUAGUUCAGUGAUAGAGUACGUCUGGGUUUAAUCCCUGCUACCAGAACAAACAAAAACCCAGACAGGGCAGAAGUUGCCAAUAAAGAUGUGCCAAUCCCCUGAGGUAUCCUAGAGAAACACAGGCAACAAGUCAUCAAAUGAAUAUUUUCAACCAAUAGGCCCCUAAUAUCCAAAAUCUACAUAUACUCCAGUAAGAAGAAGAUAGACUAACCAAUGGGGAGAGAAAGGCCAAAGACUUGUAUAGGCACUUCAGAAAUGAUAAAAAGAUCUUUAAAAACAUUUGACUUCAACAACAACAAGUGCUGGCGAGGAUGUGGGGAAAAGGGUACACUUGUACAUUGCUGGUGGGACUGCAAAUUGGUGUAGCCAAUUUG